UUGUUAGGAAUAGGAGAACCAUUAUGUAGGAUGGCAGCAAUGAAUCUGCGAAGGAAAAAAGUAAAACCAAAAGAGGAGGCAGCAUAUUUUACAUCUGUUUGUAAAGACAAAGACGGGUUUGAUGUAAAAUAUAUAAAUUCAGAAAAAGGCCGUGGGGUAUUCAGCUGUGUCCAUUUUGAUAAGGGAGAUUUCUUAUUUGAAUACAGAGGGGACCUGAUAAGCAAACAUGAAUCUGAAAACAGACAGAAAUUAUAUCAUGAUGCACUGAAAGUCAGUAUUCAUUCCGCUACAAUGGAAAGCUCUUUUGUGUUGAUGCUUCUCUGGAUGAUGGCUCUCUGGGGAGACUUGUAAAUGAUGAUCAUCUUAACCCAAACAGCAAAAUGAGAACAAUCACAA
This is a long non-coding RNA of Astyanax mexicanus (Mexican tetra), 396 nucleotides long. RefSeq lists it as uncharacterized. NCBI's taxonomy places the organism in Eukaryota, Metazoa, Chordata, Actinopteri, Characiformes, Acestrorhamphidae. The record is from RefSeq and is a predicted model, not a curated record. The transcript has 3 exons.